GUCUUUGCGCUUGGGGCAAUGACGCAGCUAAUGAGGUACUAACCGAGGCGCGUCUAUUGCUGGUUGAAAACUAUUUCCAAACCCCCUCCUGGGCCUAAGCUUGUCUUGGGCCUUCGAGAAUUUCUGGAAGGGCUCCCUUCGGGGUAAAGCC
This 151-nucleotide small nuclear RNA is filed under the name Brassica napus (rape). RNAcentral's name for it is "snRNA U4". It matches the Rfam family "U4 spliceosomal RNA". Rfam says of the family: U4 small nuclear RNA (U4 snRNA) is a component of the major U2-dependent spliceosome. The structure of U4 snRNA from yeast and human has been reported. Lineage: Eukaryota; Viridiplantae; Streptophyta; Magnoliopsida; Brassicales; Brassicaceae. The record is from Rfam by way of RNAcentral.